Molecule: long non-coding RNA, 1351 nt
Filed under: Equus caballus (horse)
Lineage: Eukaryota; Metazoa; Chordata; Mammalia; Perissodactyla; Equidae
Description: lncRNA (ENSECAG00000059499.1)
Source: RNAcentral
CGCCUGCCUAACCCACGGUCCCUCCCAACUCUUUCUAGGGCCUUAGGGCCCCCGGAGCCCCGCAGCCACAGCAGGGCGCAGGCAGGGACCAGGGCAGGGAUGAGAGGCAGCCCUUAUGGUGCAGGAUCUAGUGGGCCUGGGCCAGUCCCUUCUGCACCUCCUGGCCCCCACCACCUCCACUUCACAAAGGUCUCCUAUUGGUCUCACCCCUCCUAUCCUCAGGGCAGUUGCCAGAGUGGUGCUGCCCACUGGGCUGGGUGCGAGCGGGCAGGACCUGCCCUGGCCCAGGAUGAGCUCCUGGAGGCAGAGCAUGCACCCGGCGAGACCCCUUGUGGAGCCCGAUUCAGGAGGCCGACUCCAGCCCUGACACCUGUGUCCCCGACUUGCAACAGAUUCGAGAAGCCGCAGGACCAAGUGGCGUGCACAGCUUCGACCAUUUCCUGAGAAAUUGCCAUUUUAGGUGAACCGUGAGGAUCUUUUCCUUCUGAUGGAGGUGAAGUUAGGGAGGAUGGCUGAGCUUCCAGCAAAGUCACAAUGCCCUUCCCAAGUCUGGAGAGCCACCUGGAAACUGCCUCAUCCCCGCCGGGCACCCCGCCCGUGGAAGGGAAGGUUUCCCUCAGUUAAACCCCAUGUGUCUCCUGAACUUCCAAAAAUGUCCAAGCAGGAAGUACUAAACCUCAGAAAGCAAAAACAGCUGUCUCUCCUGAGACAGCCCACGCUCCUGGGGCCUCAGUUACACUUCUUGGCAUUUCAGACCUGAGCCGCGCCCACCCAGCCCAGCCCCACGCCGUCCCCAAAAGGACUAAAGGGACGCUGUUCUUAGCUGGUGAGAGGCCUCUGUGUGUGGCUCAUCUCCCUGAGAAGCGGUUUGAGGGGCCGACACGAAUGACCUAACACAACCCAAAACAAGCAGAGCGCAGGGGCCAGUGGGCUGGGCAGACCUGGUCAGUGAGUGGGGAGGUGGGGCCUUGGAGCCAGCUCCGCAUCCCCUCGCACAUCUGGGACCAGGCAGGGCCAGUGAGACAAUGCCCGGGGCUCACAGUGUCCACAGGGUGAAAACAGCCAUCCCCAGGGAGGAGGGCCCUGAGAGCCGGACGGGGUCCUCACAAGGGGGCCCUUAUGUCAGAAGGAAGGGAUGCCGGCGACCCCACCGUGCUGGCAUUCUGCCACUUUUUGCAACGUUUGUCCAUUUUAGCGGCUGACAAGAAGCUGAUGCAUAAUCCAGUGACCUCACCGUUACCCUCCUUCACAGUCAGGGAGCAGGCCCUGAGAGUGCCAGUCACUCUCAGGCCCCAUGCCGGGACGCGGGGCAGCCAGGUGCCAGCCCGCAGCUCCGCGGGGUCCUCCUGAC